GGUGGCUCAGUGGUAGAGUGUUUGCUUUGUAUACAUGAGGCCUGGGGUUCAAUUCCUCAGCACCA
RNAcentral lists this transfer RNA (65 nucleotides) under Dipodomys ordii (Ord's kangaroo rat). It matches the Rfam family "tRNA". Rfam says of the family: Transfer RNA (tRNA) molecules are approximately 80 nucleotides in length. The record is from Rfam by way of RNAcentral. Lineage: Eukaryota; Metazoa; Chordata; Mammalia; Rodentia; Heteromyidae.